GAAAAGUCAACAACGGGUGCACUAAAGCUAUCAAGCAGUAAGAAAAAAUCCGGUGUAAAUGAAGACGACCUAUUAUCAGAACUGAUGUCGGAUACAAUUCAAAACAAACCAGUGAGCCAAGGCUCUGCAUGGGAUACAGACUGGAAUGACAUGAAGGAUAGUUUUGUACAAGACGACAAUUGGACGCAAAGUUUCUUUCAACAAGAAACUAAAACCAAUAUGGAGAAGGUUUGGUUUGCGCAUGUUAUUUCUGUAUAGUUUUUUUGUGCUUGUCCGGUAGGUAGUAUUUUUCUAGUUUUGUUUUACGGACUAUUUUGCCCUUCCCCAUUGUUGUUGCGCUUGAAUCUUUCGACGUUUUCUCAAAUCGCCCCCCGUUUGCCCACCUUUAGAAAAUCAUUUUGCGGAAACGAAAUUUGCUUGCAAAAAAUGCAGAAACAAAAAAAAAAUGCAGAAAAAAAAAUGCAGAAAGAAAAAUGCAGAAACGUACUUCGUUUCCAAGAUUUGAUUUUUGUUGGGGAAACCACUGUUUUUUAAUUCGCCCACCAUCGAGAAACAUGGCUAGUAAACAAUGUUUCCCCAUCAUGUGUUUGCCAUUUCGCCCAGGGCUUAGGGACCGGUCAUUAUUUAUGGCGGGGGGUGGCACCGAAGAGAAAAAGGUUGGGUAAACAAAAUUUUGAGGGAGUAAA
Molecule: non-coding RNA, 686 nt
Organism: Paramuricea clavata
Lineage: Eukaryota; Metazoa; Cnidaria; Anthozoa; Malacalcyonacea; Plexauridae
Source: the annotation of a GenBank genome assembly